UGAGUGUGAAAGGCAAUCGCUGACGGCUUUGGCCGGAAGAGGAAAGUCCGGGCUCCACAGGGCAGAAUGCCGGAUAACGUCCGGCGAGGGUGACCUCAGGGACAGUGCCACAGAAAUGUGUACCGCCUGCUUCGGCAGGUAAGGGUGGAACGGUGCGGUAAGAGCGCACCAGCGGUCGGGUAACCGGCUGGCUAGGUAAACCCCAUUCGGAGCAAGACCAAAUAGGGAAGGGAUGAAGCGGCCCGCUGAUCCUUCCGGGUUGUGUCGCUUGAGCCUGCAAGUAAUUGCAGGCCUAGAUAAAUGAUUGCUGCCGCUUUGCGGAACAGAACCCGGCUUAUUGAGCACUCGUAUU
RNAcentral lists this RNase P RNA (352 nucleotides) under Phascolarctobacterium sp. Its description in RNAcentral is "RNase P RNA component class A". It matches the Rfam family "Bacterial RNase P class A". Rfam says of the family: Ribonuclease P (RNase P) is a ubiquitous endoribonuclease, found in archaea, bacteria and eukarya as well as chloroplasts and mitochondria. Its best characterised activity is the generation of mature 5'-ends of tRNAs by cleaving the 5'-leader elements of precursor-tRNAs. Cellular RNase Ps are ribonucleoproteins. The record is from RNAcentral. RNAcentral also lists the same sequence under 1 other name. Lineage: Bacteria; Bacillati; Bacillota; Negativicutes; Acidaminococcales; Acidaminococcaceae.